This is a long non-coding RNA of Pecten maximus, 1523 nucleotides long. RefSeq lists it as uncharacterized. The record is from RefSeq and is a predicted model, not a curated record. Lineage: Eukaryota; Metazoa; Mollusca; Bivalvia; Pectinida; Pectinidae. The transcript has 3 exons.
CUGUGGAAAACCUGAAUGUAUGGCUACAUGAUAGCGAUUUCAUCAUUGUUGACCGAGGUUCUUUACUUCAUUCCGUAACACAUGCCUUCCUCAGGUGAGUCGCAACAUCAAACAUCAAACAAGGAUGGACAAUGCACAAAAAAACCCAUUCUGGGUCGUAGUAACCACGGAUGAUUCAAACAAAAGCAUUUUUAAAGAGCCGCUAUACUUUUCACUGAAACACAUGUCAUUGAACAGCUUGUUCGAAUUACUACUGCCUGCAUGAAUCUUAUGCAUGGUCCCAUAUACAAUCCAUCUAUCGCCUGUGAAGCAAAAUAUUGCCAACUUGCCAGCAACAUGUCGGCCAUGAUUUCAUUGGAGAAUUCUUUGGCAGACGGACUUCUCAUUCAAUGAACCUGAUUUAAGUCAAAGUAGAAGAAGUUAGUGCGUGCUGAGAAAGCUAUUCCAGGGAUUAAUAUGGUAUACAUGGGAAUUGCCAAAUGAAGCGCCUGUCAAAUCCAGUAAGGCUCAGGGUAUAUUGCAGAAAACCUGACUGAUGAUGGUGAUAUCCAGGUGUGGGUGUCCCAGCAUACUGAUGAUCUCAUUCGGGGACGUCGCAAAUUCCACAGCUAUUACAAUGGUUGGAUAGAGUCCAAUGCAGACAAAAAGGAUGACCCUAUCACAAAUCAUUACUGUCAGCUUGAAGUAGGCAAACGUACAGUGGGUAUGUCAUGCUACACUUCAAGUAUCCAGUACUACCUCGGUCAACCUCUCUCACCAAUCACAGUGUUGGUAGUAAUCCGCUUUGCGAUUAAGGAGGACUAACGGCGCAUAGCAGACAACGACGGAUGAAGCGUGAUGGCUAAAGAUCAUCGAUCCUGACUCUUCGGGUCGGAUGACCUGAAAAUAUAUAAGAAUGCUGAUGUGACAGUCGUGAAGAAAUCACCAAAGAUCAUGCGUCAGUGCCACGUGGCCUCCUACUGAAGACAUGCUAUACACCAUCUGCUGUUACAUGCAACUGUGUCCACAACAAAAAAUAUCAAAAGAGAGCAUAAUUAUUUAGCUUUGGUCAAUAUUCAAUAAUUCCCGUCAGUAGUGCAAUAUAUUGUAUUGUUUUAUUUAUUGAUUCACUAACAAUUAUUUGAAGCUACUGUGAUUUUAUUCAUAAUUUGCAGACAUUGAUUACAUUAUUAGCAAAUAGAUUAAAUAUUGAUAUUAUCAAAUAUAUUUAAUAGGCCGUUUGUUUGAAAGAUGGACACAACUCAAUUGAACUAAAGUUUUCCUUCUGUUUAUGACAUAAUAAACUGAAUCUAUAUCAAUACAUUUAUCUUAAAUAUAUAAACAUGUUUUGUUUUUCUUCAUGUCUUUAUCUUAAUUGUAUGGACAGAUGGACCCUCUGACCUCUGCAGCAAGAUUGUUGAAUUGUUGAAUACUUUUUGUCUCAUCUCCUAGUCCCUGAGUUGAUACAGAUAUGUCAGAAUCAAAUACUCAGUACUCUGCAGGUAAUUUAAUUAUAGAAGAGUCUCUAUAUGCCUUAUGAAAAU